GAUGAACGCUGGCGGCGUGCUUAACACAUGCAAGUCGAACGGGGUGCUCAUGACGGAGGAUUCGUCCAACGGAUUGAGUUACCUAGUGGCGGACGGGUGAGUAACGCGUGAGGAACCUGCCUUGGAGAGGGGGAUAACACUCCGAAAGGAGUGCUAAUACCGCAUAAUGCAGUUGGGUCGCAUGGCUCUGACUGCCAAAGAUUUAUCGCUCUGAGAUGGCCUCGCGUCUGAUUAGCUAGUAGGCGGGGUAACGGCCCACCUAGGCGACGAUCAGUAGCCGGACUGAGAGGUUGACCGGCCACAUUGGGACUGAGACACGGCCCAGACUCCUACGGGAGGCAGCAGUGGGGAAUAUUGGGCAAUGGGCGCAAGCCUGACCCAGCAACGCCGCGUGAAGG
Molecule: ribosomal RNA, 398 nt
Filed under: uncultured bacterium
Lineage: Bacteria
Description: bacterial SSU rRNA
Rfam family: Bacterial small subunit ribosomal RNA
Source: RNAcentral